AUGAAAGUUGAUACCGCGGAACAUGUGACCGCCCUAGAUAAUGCCAUUGGGAAAACCAGAUUGUUCUAUAUAGGAAUGAAGGUUGAUUUGGUAUCCAGAUUCCCCAUUAGUUACGCCAUAAAGAAAAGCUUCCCAGUUGACAAUGCACAGAUACUGCCCUCUACAAAGGUUAGACAAUUUUCAUCAAUUUACAAAAUAACUCCAUCCUAA
This 210-nucleotide ribosomal RNA is filed under the name Triticum aestivum (bread wheat). Its description in RNAcentral is "partial small subunit ribosomal RNA". Lineage: Eukaryota; Viridiplantae; Streptophyta; Magnoliopsida; Poales; Poaceae. The record is from RNAcentral.